GUGCUCACUUUGGCAGCACAUACACUAAAAUAGGAACAAUACAGAGAAGAUUAUCAUGGCCUCUGCACAAAGAUGACACAUAAAUUUGUGAAGUAUUUCAUAUUUUU
Small nuclear RNA from Pan troglodytes (chimpanzee), 107 nucleotides. NCBI's taxonomy places the organism in Eukaryota, Metazoa, Chordata, Mammalia, Primates, Hominidae. The record is from Ensembl.